Molecule: small nuclear RNA, 164 nt
Organism: Cynara cardunculus var. scolymus (artichoke)
Lineage: Eukaryota; Viridiplantae; Streptophyta; Magnoliopsida; Asterales; Asteraceae
Product: U1 spliceosomal RNA
Exons: 1
Source: RefSeq, a predicted model, not a curated record
GCACUUACCUGGACGGGGUCUUUGGGCGAUCAAGAAGGUCCAUGGCCUAGGUUGCGGACCUCCAUUGCACCAUGCGGAGGGGCUUCUGCCUAAGGUCGGCCCAAGUUGGUUGAACCUACGUCAUAAUUUGUGUCAGUGGGGGCAUGCGUUCGCGCAGCCCCUAA